GACGAACGCUGGCGGCGUGCUUAACACAUGCAAGUCGAACGAAGUGGCGAACGGGUGAGUAACGCGUAAUCAACCUGCCCUUCAGAGGGGGACACCAGUUGGAAACGACUGCUAAUACCGCAUACUGAAGGAGGGGAUUGCGUGUGAUUAGCUAGUGGGAGGGGUAACGGCCCACAAAGGCGAUGAUCAGUAGCCGGUCUUAGAGGAGGAACGGCCACAUUGGGACUGAGAAACGGCCCAGACUCCUACGGGAGGCAGCAGUGGGGAAUCUUCCGCAAUGGAGGAAAGGCUGACGGAGCAACGCCGCGUGAGUGAUGACGGCCUUCGGGUUGGAAAGCUCUGUUAAUCGGGACGCGGUACCGGAAUAGAAAGCCACGGCUAACUACGUGCCAGCAGCCGCGGUAAUUC
Molecule: ribosomal RNA, 408 nt
Filed under: uncultured bacterium
Lineage: Bacteria
Description: partial 16S ribosomal RNA
Rfam family: Bacterial small subunit ribosomal RNA
Source: RNAcentral